GUUUGCUGAGAGUUAUUACCAUUUUUAAGUAUUGAUUUUUGUGAGAUGUGUUUUCUGCAACUAUCAUGAUGGUCCUAUGUUUCUCCCCUGUAGUCUACCAGUAGGAGGAAUUAAAAGAUAGCAUUUUAAUGUAUAUAAAUUAAGACUUCAAAUAAAAACAAUUGAACUCGACAAUAAUAUACACCUUUACAUUCCCAUGUAGCAACAAAGUUGGGUGAGAUGUGUUCAUGAGGUUGUGCAGCUAAGGAACACUCGUGCACUCUUGGCUGGAAGAGGAGAUUGGUAUAGUUCCUUGAAUAAAACAUUCGGCAUUACUGUAUAAACUGAAGAUGUGGAUGACCUAGCAAUUCCUAGAUGUGUACCCUAAAGAAAGUUAUGCACAUGAGCAUCUGGAGACCCCAGUACUGGGCAGCAGCAUCCAUUCAUAACAGCAGAAACCUGGAAACGACCCAAAUGUCCCGAGAUGGUAGAAUGCGCUAUUGUGCUCUAUUAAUACAACAGAAUAACAUAUAGUAUUGAAAAUAAAAAUUUAUAGCUAUGUGCGUCAAAACUGUUGAAU
Homo sapiens (human) is the source of this 559-nucleotide long non-coding RNA. The record is from Ensembl. NCBI's taxonomy places the organism in Eukaryota, Metazoa, Chordata, Mammalia, Primates, Hominidae.